This 324-nucleotide ribosomal RNA is filed under the name uncultured eukaryote. RNAcentral's name for it is "partial 18S ribosomal RNA". It matches the Rfam family "Eukaryotic small subunit ribosomal RNA", at positions 1470 to 1796 of the family's 1831-position model. The record is from RNAcentral.
CCCUUAGAUGUCCUGGGCUGCACGCGCGCUACACUGAUGUGUCCAGUAAGCACCUAACCUCUUCCGAAAGGAACGGGUAACCUUUGCAAAGCACAUCGUGAUGGGGAUAGAUUAUUGCAAUUAUUAGUCUUGAACGAGGAAUUCCUAGUAAGCACAAGUCAUCAGCUUGUGUUGAUUACGUCCCUGCCCUUUGUACACACCGCCCGUCGCUCCUACCGAUUGAAUGUUCCGGUGAGCUCUUCGGACUGCGCGGUCUGCAGUUUCUGCGUUCCGUGCGGAAAGUUGCGCAAACCUUAACAUUUACAGGAAGGAGAAGUCGUAACA